GGGGAUGUAGCUCAGGUGGUAGAGCGUUCGCUUAGCAUGCGAGAAGUACGGUGAUCGAUUUCCUGCAUCUCCG
This 73-nucleotide transfer RNA is filed under the name Daphnia pulex (common water flea). It matches the Rfam family "tRNA". From Rfam's summary of the family: Transfer RNA (tRNA) molecules are approximately 80 nucleotides in length. Their secondary structure includes four short double-helical elements and three loops (D, anti-codon, and T loops). Further hydrogen bonds mediate the characteristic L-shaped molecular structure. tRNAs have two regions of fundamental functional importance: the anti-codon, which is responsible for specific mRNA codon recognition, and the 3' end, to which the tRNAs corresponding amino acid is attached (by aminoacyl-tRNA synthetases). tRNAs cope with the degeneracy of the genetic code in two manners: having more than one tRNA (with a specific anti-codon) for a particular amino acid; and 'wobble' base-pairing, i.e. permitting non-standard base-pairing at the 3rd anti-codon position. The record is from Rfam by way of RNAcentral. Lineage: Eukaryota; Metazoa; Arthropoda; Branchiopoda; Diplostraca; Daphniidae.